This 254-nucleotide ribosomal RNA is filed under the name uncultured bacterium. RNAcentral describes it as "partial 16S ribosomal RNA". It matches the Rfam family "Bacterial small subunit ribosomal RNA", at positions 524 to 776 of the family's 1533-position model. The record is from RNAcentral.
UACGUAGGGGGCAAGCGUUGUCCGGAUUCAUUGGGCGUAAAGAGCUCGUAGGCGGCUUGGCAAGUCGGGUGUGAAAACUCCAGGCUCAACCUGGAGACGCCACCCGAUACUGCUAUGGCUUGAGUCCGGUAGGGGACCACGGAAUUCCUGGUGUAGCGGUGAAAUGCGCAGAUAUCAGGAGGAACACCGGUGGCGAAGGCGGGUCUCUGGGCCGUAACUGACGCUGAGGAGCGAAAGCGUGGGGAGCGAACAGG